Molecule: ribosomal RNA, 505 nt
Filed under: uncultured bacterium
Lineage: Bacteria
Description: partial 16S ribosomal RNA
Rfam family: Bacterial small subunit ribosomal RNA
Source: RNAcentral
GACGAACGCUGGCGGCGUGCCUAAUACAUGCAAGUAGAACGCACAGUUUAUACCGUAGCUUGCUGCACCAUAGACUGUGAGUUGCGAACGGGUGAGUAACGCGUAGGUAACCUGCCUGGUAGCGGGGGAUAACUAUUGGAAACGAUAGCUAAUACCGCAUAAUAUUGAUUAUUGCAUGAUAAUUGAUUGAAAGAUGCUAUUGCAUCACUACCAGAUGGACCUGCGUUGUAUUAGCUAGUAGGUGAGGUAACGGCUCACCUAGGCGACGAUACAUAGCCGACCUGAGAGGGUGAUCGGCCACACUGGGACUGAGACACGGCCCAGACUCCUACGGGAGGCAGCAGUAGGGAAUCUUCGGCAAUGGACGAAAGUCUGACCGAGCAACGCCGCGUGAGUGAAGAAGGUUGUCGGAUCGUAAAGCUCUGUUGUAAGAGAAGAACGGGUGUGAGAGUGGAAAGUUCACACUGUGACGGUAUCUUACCAGAAAGGGACGGCUAACUACUUG